UCAGGGUGAAUAUGACGGUGAAGACAAAGAAAUGAAUGAAAGAAAGCUGCUGUAUCAAGAAUGGGCACGAUAUGGAUCGUUUUACAAGUUUCAGCCUAUUGAUCUUGUAAGAAAGUAUUUUGGAGAAAAAAUUGGAAUGUAUUUUGCCUGGCUGGGCUUGUACACAGAGUUUCUUAUUCCAUCCUCGGUAGUUGGAAUCAUCGUGUUCCUGUACGGAUGCUUAACCAUUGAAAGUGACGU
Lacerta agilis (Sand lizard) is the source of this 240-nucleotide long non-coding RNA. RefSeq lists it as uncharacterized. The transcript has 3 exons. NCBI's taxonomy places the organism in Eukaryota, Metazoa, Chordata, Lepidosauria, Squamata, Lacertidae. The record is from RefSeq and is a predicted model, not a curated record.